GAAAAAAAAUAUUGAUUUUUGUUCGACGUUCGUUCGUCGACUAAUGCCCAUUUUCACCAGCGGUACCUAAAUGUUAAGUGUCCCCUAAGACAGUUUUAAGGAACACUUAGCGGACAUUUUGUUUUCAAUUAUAGAAAGAGUCAAAGUCACGGUGUCGUGUCGUGUGUCGUGUCUGUAAAAUAGAUUUAUGGUAGACUGACGAGUGAAAACGAAAAUAAAAUUAACUAUAAGUGUACGAGUGUAUAAAUAAUUUGAAAAUGUUAUCGGCAGAUGAUUAUAGUUAUACUGUGUAGUUAUAAUAGAACUGUGGAUUUAGAUCAAUUUUUACAUCAAUUAACAUCAUUACAAUUUUGUUGUUUUUCAAAAUUUAACAAAAUAAAUGACAGAUAAAGGUGCAUCUAAAACUGAGAGAGUUGGGGAUGAUAAAUCUAUUAACUUUAGAUCCUCUCCAAACUUUAAAUACAUGAAAAAGUACCUGAAGUCUAGGUUUGAAGAAGCAGGAUGCUCGGAGGCUUCUUCAACUAAUAUCAAAAUAGAUCAAGAGAGUACCAAUCCAGUAGAAACCAAAGUAAAUGUUGUUGUCCAGCCACCAUUGCCCCCAGAUUCACCACCUCCAGAUUAUCCUCCUAAUUUAAAACUUGUAAAACAAGAAGUCAUAGAUGAUGGCUACGAAAAGAAAGAACUGGAAAAUGAAAAGCAACAGGAAGAACAGGAGCCCAAGACUACCAUCCAUAUGGAGGCAGAAAAUAAACAGAGAAAACCAGAGAAGUGUCGUGAUUUCGCCAGAGGCAAUUGCACGUGGAAUCCAUGCAAAAAAAGCCAUAUUUUGGAUAGUGAUGAUUUCUGUAAAGACUUUGCAAAUGGCAAAUGCAAUCCAAAAUUGCGUCCUAAUUGCAGAUUUGUUCAUGCAACCACAUUUGAAAAGGAGAGUUAUUUCCGAACUGGUCACUUGCCUCAUCACUUACGUCCAAAUAUACGCAACAGGAAGGAUGCCCGUCCUGCACAACAACCUCAACAACAACAGCAGCCAAUAUUUUCAGCAGCAGCACCUAUUCAACCUAUGCAGAUGCCUAUGUAUACCAUGGUCAGUAACACGCCCGAUUUUCGUGCCAGUUGUGCACCACCUUUGCCGCCCGCGAUGUCCGUCCCGUCUGCCGCCGUCGACCCGGCGCUGGCCUACAUGUUCGUGCCGCCACAGCCCCCGCCACUAUUAUCACCACCACAACCAAAUCCUGAUUUCAACGAAUGGCGGAGUUACACGCGGUGAGAUACGAAUUUGGGAAUAUGCAAAGAGAAAUGGAAGAAUUUGCUCCGAAAAGUUGCACGAAAUGCAAGCUAUCUGAAUUGAGAUAUCUGGAAAAUGUUGCGGAAAUGGAAAAGCUUGAAGAUUCGGCCCAAUCGAUGAAGGAACAAAUUGCAUUAUUAGACCAAAAGAAGACAAAGCUAUUGGCUAUUCUGACAAAAGUAUUGUGGAAAGAUAUGCCAAAUUAGCAUGUAAGAACAUUUAUUAUGUACGGGGACAAGGUUUAUGGUGUCUAAUUUAUUGAUGUGUAACACAACCAUUCCUUAAUAUAAGAUAUAUUUGUUAAUGAGAUGGGUAUAUUUAUUCUCAUUAAUUUUAUUGUUAUCAUUACUAGCUUCAACCUGUGACCUUGAUUUGCUACUCCUGUUUUUUUAUAUUUUGACUAAAGGUACUUAUUAGAUGUACUAUUUAAUUAUAUUUAUUCAAUAAUACUUAUAAUUGUUCUCUCCCAUUGUAAUUAAAAUACGUAUAAUAAUAUUGCAAGAACGGCAUCACUAUUUUUUACUUUUUCAAAGAGCAACCUUCAGAUAAAUAAUACAUUGUGUAAUCUGUCCCCUUAUUUAAACAGAUCGAUGUGCUAUUAUGACCAUUUAAUUAUCGUGAAUAAGAUUAAUUGUGCUGUAGGAUUAAAAUAAAUGUUUCGUAAAUAAAUUUAUGUUUAAGCAUGAA
RNA transcript from Plodia interpunctella (Indianmeal moth), 1972 nucleotides. RefSeq lists it as uncharacterized. The record is from RefSeq and is a predicted model, not a curated record. The transcript is spliced from 7 exons. NCBI's taxonomy places the organism in Eukaryota, Metazoa, Arthropoda, Insecta, Lepidoptera, Pyralidae.